This 527-nucleotide ribosomal RNA is filed under the name uncultured Burkholderia sp. Its description in RNAcentral is "bacterial SSU rRNA". It matches the Rfam family "Bacterial small subunit ribosomal RNA", at positions 119 to 643 of the family's 1533-position model. Lineage: Bacteria; Pseudomonadati; Pseudomonadota; Betaproteobacteria; Burkholderiales; Burkholderiaceae. The record is from RNAcentral.
CGGAACAUGUCCUGUAGUGGGGGAUAGCCCGGCGAAAGCCGGAUUAAUACCGCAUACGAUCUGAGGAUGAAAGCGGGGGACCUUCGGGCCUCGCGCUAUAGGGUUGGCCGAUGGCUGAUUAGCUAGUUGGUGGGGUAAAGGCCUACCAAGGCGACGAUCAGUAGCUGGUCUGAGAGGACGACCAGCCACACUGGGACUGAGACACGGCCCAGACUCCUACGGGAGGCAGCAGUGGGGAAUUUUGGACAAUGGGCGAAAGCCUGAUCCAGCAAUGCCGCGUGUGUGAAGAAGGCCUUCGGGUUGUAAGCACUUUUGUCCGGAAAGAAAUCCUUGGUUCUAAUAUAGCCGGGGGAUGACGGUACCGGAAGAAUAAGCACCGGCUAACUACGUGCCAGCAGCCGCGGUAAUACGUAGGGUGCAAGCGUNAAUCGNAAUUACUGGGCGUAAAGCGUGCGCAGGCGGUUUGNUAANACCGAUGUGAAAUCCCCGGGCUCAACCUGGGAACUGCAUUGGUGACUGNNAGGCUA